GCCAGCGUAGCUCAGCUGGCUAGAGCAGCUGAUUUGUAAUCAGCAGGUCGUGGGUUCGAGUCCCUCCGCCGGCUCUA
RNAcentral lists this transfer RNA (77 nucleotides) under Flavobacterium seoulense. RNAcentral's name for it is "tRNA-Thr". It matches the Rfam family "tRNA". Rfam says of the family: Transfer RNA (tRNA) molecules are approximately 80 nucleotides in length. Lineage: Bacteria; Pseudomonadati; Bacteroidota; Flavobacteriia; Flavobacteriales; Flavobacteriaceae. The record is from RNAcentral.